RNAcentral lists this transfer RNA (87 nucleotides) under Exiguobacterium aestuarii. RNAcentral's name for it is "tRNA-Leu". It matches the Rfam family "tRNA". Rfam says of the family: Transfer RNA (tRNA) molecules are approximately 80 nucleotides in length. Lineage: Bacteria; Bacillati; Bacillota; Bacilli; Caryophanales. RNAcentral also lists the same sequence under 4 other names. The record is from RNAcentral.
GCCGAGGUGGUGAAAUUGGUAGACACGCUAGCUUCAGGUGCUAGUGGGGGAAACCCCGUGGAAGUUCGAGUCUUCUCCUCGGCACCA